This 276-nucleotide long non-coding RNA is filed under the name Homo sapiens (human). RNAcentral describes it as "HSALNT0022791". Lineage: Eukaryota; Metazoa; Chordata; Mammalia; Primates; Hominidae. The record is from RNAcentral.
AGAACACCCUGCUGGCCAGUGUGUAAAUAUCUAAAGGAGGACUCAGAAAACACCGGGGAAGUCCAGCCUGCAUGUGGUGGCUGGGCUUCAGUGAAGCAUGGAGCACAACAGGAGUUGGCAGACCACAAAGAGCAUGUCUGGACCUAGAACCACAGCAUGUAACCUCGGAAGCAGUGAGACACCAGCCAGCAUGGACAAGCAGCAGGCACUUGAUCUAUACCAGGUGAGGGUGUGGAGACAUGACGUGGUGCAGGGACACCAGCACCCAGUCCUAGU